This 400-nucleotide unclassified non-coding RNA is filed under the name soil metagenome. RNAcentral describes it as "partial contains 5.8S ribosomal RNA, internal transcribed spacer 2, and large subunit ribosomal RNA". The stretch from base 1 to 122 matches the Rfam family "5.8S ribosomal RNA", at positions 35 to 154 of the family's 154-position model. The record is from RNAcentral.
GAUGAAGAACGUAGCGAAAUGCGAUACUUGGUGUGAAUUGCAGAAUCCCGUGAACCAUCGAGUCUUUGAACGCAAGUUGCGCCUCAAGCCAUUAGGUUGAGGGCACGUCUGCCUGGGCGUCACAUAUCGUUGCCUGAUGCCAGUUUCCUCGUGAUGGGUGACUGUGCAGGGCGAAUGAUGGCUUCCCGUGAGCAUUGUUGCCUCAUGGUUGGUUGAUAAUUGAGUCCUUGGUAGGGAGCGCCGUGAUAGAUGGUGGUUGAGUGACGAACGAGACCCAAUCAUGUGAGACCCCUACCGAAUUUGGCCUUCAUGACCCACAUGCGUCUUUGGAACGCUCAUGACGAGACCUCAGGUCAGGCGGGGCUACCCGCUGAGUUUAAGCAUAUCAAUAAGCGGAGGA